UGGGGUGUAGCCAAGUCGGUAAGGCACUGGAUUCUGGCUCCAGGAGGCAUAGGUUCGAGCCCUAUCACCCCAGCCA
Molecule: transfer RNA, 76 nt
Filed under: Tissierellia bacterium
Lineage: Bacteria; Bacillati; Bacillota; Tissierellia
Description: tRNA-Gln
Rfam family: tRNA
About the family: Transfer RNA (tRNA) molecules are approximately 80 nucleotides in length. Their secondary structure includes four short double-helical elements and three loops (D, anti-codon, and T loops).
Source: RNAcentral